This 55-nucleotide ribosomal RNA is filed under the name Marininema halotolerans. The record is from RNAcentral. Lineage: Bacteria; Bacillati; Bacillota; Bacilli; Caryophanales; Thermoactinomycetaceae.
CUGCGCCGAUGGUACUUGGGGCGCGAGCCCCUGGGAGAGUAGGGCGUUGCCGGGC